Mycena capillaripes is the source of this 96-nucleotide non-coding RNA. Lineage: Eukaryota; Fungi; Basidiomycota; Agaricomycetes; Agaricales; Mycenaceae. The record is from the annotation of a GenBank genome assembly.
GACUCGAUGGUAUAGUGCUAACGCAUCCGCUUGUGGUACUUGAAACGAACGGACGGACGUUCGCGGAAGUCGCCGGUUCGAAUCCGGCUUGAGUCA